AUACCAUGAUGAGGGCACUUCCUUAACAGCUCUUUGAAUCUUUCCAAUGCACCAUACAACAAUUCCCCUUCAGUCUUCUAGAAAUCAUUAAUCUCCCCUCUCAACUU
Small nucleolar RNA from Humulus lupulus (European hop), 107 nucleotides. NCBI's taxonomy places the organism in Eukaryota, Viridiplantae, Streptophyta, Magnoliopsida, Rosales, Cannabaceae. The record is from RefSeq and is a predicted model, not a curated record.